AUGGGUUGCUUCUUCCGCACGUACAUGCUGGCCAUCGCCAACGCCGUCUGCAUCGGCGGCACGGCCAUGAUCGUGUACGCGUUCGUCAACCUGGCGCGAAAGCCCCACAGCAAGGGCUCCAUGGUCACGGCCUCCGUCUUCCUCCUCUGCUGGGUCAGCGUCACGGUCGGCGUUUAUACGGCCAUCUGCGGCGACCUCUUCCAGCUGUCGGGGCUGAGCCGGUGCCUGGCCUCCGCACCCGGGGCACUCCGUGGCGCGGGCCGGUUUCUCUGCUUGCCGUGCCGGUGCGCGCGCGCCCGCCGAAGCGGCGUCGGCGGCGCUCUGCCGCAGUUUCUGGACCAGACACCGAGCCAAAUGCCUGUGCUGGCCCGGGAGCCGCCGGUGCAUGGCGGCGCGCGAGCGGUGACGGCGUAUGACAUCCCAGCGUAUGAGCAGCCGGAGGGCGGCAGCGGGUCGGAGGGCGGCGGUGGGUCGGAGUGCGUGAUCUGCCUCGGGAAGGUGAAGAAGGGGGACGCGGUGAAGCGGAUGCCGGCGUGCCUGCACAUGUUUCACCAGCAGUGCAUCGACCCGUGGCUGCACGAGCACUCGACGUGCCCGGUCUGCCGGUGCAACAUCUUCGCGCCGUUGCCGGCCGAAAUGCAAAUGGUAUGA
Molecule: ribosomal RNA, 651 nt
Filed under: Triticum aestivum (bread wheat)
Lineage: Eukaryota; Viridiplantae; Streptophyta; Magnoliopsida; Poales; Poaceae
Description: partial small subunit ribosomal RNA
Source: RNAcentral